Molecule: ribosomal RNA, 253 nt
Filed under: uncultured bacterium
Lineage: Bacteria
Description: partial 16S ribosomal RNA
Rfam family: Bacterial small subunit ribosomal RNA
Source: RNAcentral
UACGUAGGGGGCAAGCGUUGUCCGGAAUUAUUGGGCGUAAAGAGCGUGUAGGCGGUCCGGUAAGUCAGCUGUGAAAGUCAAGGGCUCAACCCUUGAAUGCCGGUUGAUACUGUCGGGCUAGAGUCCGGAAGAGGCGAGUGGAAUUCCCGGUGUAGCGGUGAAAUGCGUAGAUAUCGGGAGGAACAUCAGUGGCGAAGGCGGCUGUCUGGCCCAAUACUGACACUCAGGUGCGAAAGCGUGGGGAGCAAACAGG